GCAAACUUGGUCAUUUAGAGGAAGUAAAAGUCGUAACAAGGUCUCCGUUGGUGAACCAGCGGAGGGAUCAUUACCGGGUCGGCGACUGCCCGAAACCACACCGUGCACCGUCUUUUUUUGUGUACAGUCGACGCCUUUGGAGAGGCUUAGCAUGCUCGCCGGGGGAGUUUGCGGGACCGGGAGGCGAAAGCCUGCCGGGCCGGCCGAUCGGGGGGCGUCGCCCUUUUAGAACAGCGUUGAGAAAGAACUUCAGAAGGUAUUUCGGCGGCUUUCGGGCCCCGUAAAAAACCUAGUCACAACUCACAACAAUGGAUCUCUUGGCUCCGGCAUCGAUGAAGAACGCAGC
Molecule: unclassified non-coding RNA, 346 nt
Filed under: uncultured fungus
Lineage: Eukaryota; Fungi
Description: partial contains small subunit ribosomal RNA, internal transcribed spacer 1, and 5.8S ribosomal RNA
Rfam family: Eukaryotic small subunit ribosomal RNA (bases 1-73)
Source: RNAcentral